GACGGAGGGUGCAAGCGUUGCUCGGAAUCACUGGGCGUAAAGGGUGCGUAGGCGGGUCUUUAAGUCAGGGGUGAAAUCCUGGAGCUCAACUCCAGAACUGCCUUUGAUACUGAAGAUCUCGAGUCCGGGAGAGGUGAGUGGAACUGCGAGUGUAGAGGUGAAAUUCGUAGAUAUUCGCAAGAACACCAGUGGCGAAGGCGGCUCACUGGCCCGGUACUGACGCUGAGGUGCGAAAGCGUGGGGAGCAAACAGG
RNAcentral lists this ribosomal RNA (253 nucleotides) under uncultured bacterium. Its description in RNAcentral is "partial 16S ribosomal RNA". It matches the Rfam family "Bacterial small subunit ribosomal RNA", at positions 524 to 776 of the family's 1533-position model. The record is from RNAcentral.